UACGGAAGGCAGCAGUGGGGAAUAUUGCACAAUGGGCGCAAGCCUGAUGCAGCCAUGCCGCGUGUAUGAAGAAGGCCUUCGGGUUGUAAAGUACUUUCAGUCGUGAGGAAGGUGUUAAGGUUAAUAACCUUAGCAAUUGACGUUAGCGACAGAAGAAGCACCGGCUAACUCCGUGCCAGCAGCCGCGGUAAUACGGAGGGUGCGAGCGUUAAUCGGAAUUACUGGGCGUAAAGGGCACGCAGGCGGUUAAUUAAGUUGGAUGUGAAAUCCCCGGGCUUAACCUGGGAAUGGCAUUCAAGACUGGUUAGCUAGAGUCUUGUAGAGGGGGUAGAAUUCCAUGUGUAGCGGUGAAAUGCGUAGAGAUGUGGAGGAAUACCGGUGGCGAAAGGCGGCCCCCUGGACGAAAGACUGACGCUCAUGUGCGAAAGCGUGGGGAGGCAAACAAGGGAUUAGAUACC
RNAcentral lists this ribosomal RNA (458 nucleotides) under uncultured bacterium. RNAcentral's name for it is "bacterial SSU rRNA". It matches the Rfam family "Bacterial small subunit ribosomal RNA", at positions 340 to 786 of the family's 1533-position model. The record is from RNAcentral.